GUUGAAAUCUUAACCUAAUCCUAAGUCUAAGCUUUCCUAUAUAUUGCCACCAAUUCUUUUCAAUUGUGCAAUAUCUCUUUUCCUAAAAAUCAGCAUCAACAAAUCUUCCAAUUUGUGAUCUGAGGAUAUUCUAGUUUGUGAAUCACGUCCAAACAAGAUCAGCCAAUGGAAACUCUCCACGUCAUCACGUCUUAGUUCCUUCUGUCCACGUCGAUGUGUUACACAUUAUCGUCCAUGUGUAACACAACAGCA
RNAcentral lists this long non-coding RNA (252 nucleotides) under Brassica rapa (field mustard). RNAcentral's name for it is "long non-coding RNA (BRAP_LNC005025)". Lineage: Eukaryota; Viridiplantae; Streptophyta; Magnoliopsida; Brassicales; Brassicaceae. The record is from RNAcentral.